AACUCCUGACCUCAAGUGAUCCGCCCACCUCGGCCUCCCAAAGUGCUGGGAUUACAGGCAUGAGCCACCGCUCCGGGCCCUUGCACAUAUUUUUUUAUGAACACACAGGCAGCAGCACUUUGAUUACAGUAACUUACAUGGAAGUUAUUUUAAAAUGGCUUUCCCCUUCUCUUUUUCAUGUAGGCUGCAUUUUUCAUCUGCAGCACGCUUUCUCUCAAGAAUCUCAAGCACACACAAGAAACCAGAGAGUAAAAUCACUGAGGCGUGAACACAUCCAGAGACCAAGGGCGUCACUGGCAGAAAAGCUUUUAGGCGGAUCCACGGCCCGAGAGCCACCCUGCCCAGAGACGCGGUUUCCUAGGAGCAGUUCACACGCGGCUCUGCAGCACCCACAAGCGGGGCCAGGGGCUGGUUUUCAUAGUUCACAGUCUGCAGGGAUCUUAACAAAAACAUGGCCGUGGUAAAAGUGCCUAGACCAGGCUUUCGUCACAACUCAUCAUGUUACUAGGUUAGGAUAAUAAAAAGGACUGUGAACUUCACAUCUGCCAUCUAUAAUAGAUUCUUAUUGUAGCAAUCUUGCACCAAGGGGAUUUCUUUAUUAACUCUGCCAAAUUUUCCAAAAUUACCAAAUGGAGAAAAGAGCUGGUCCCAUCUGUCACCAGGCACAACCAGGAAGUGUCAGAAGACUUUCAGAAGCACAUGCAGUUGCAGCUCCAGUGUUUCAACAGUUGCCCAUUUCCAAGGCCUCCUAAAUACGUAUGAGGCCUGUGGACAACUUUCUCCUCAGCUGUUACAGAACCUGGACAACUUGUAGUGAAGACCUUCCACACCAGUAACAUAUUUUGGUGAGCCAGUCGGGAGUUGGCUAGAUUAGUUCCCCAGUCUGUCUUCUCGCCACUCUGGAUGUCCACAUGAGAGGACCCAAGAGACUGUUUUGUUCAUCUACUAAUGUGAUCUAAGGGGACAGUCAUGAACAGAAAGACUGCGAGUUCCCAAAGGGGCUACUGUGGACAGAUAACCCCGUGCUCAGCACUCAGAUCACUGGUGAGUGCCACUGGGCACCUGCGCACCUCACUGCAAACACUAAGGACAGGAUUCAUGUUUGUUUCUAAUUUGAUGAAUACUGUACAACACCCACAUGCUUUUCUCUGCAAAGAAAAGAAUAACACGUAAGGUUGCCUAAAGAAUAUUAAAAUAGUAAGUCAAUAUUACCUAGAAAAAAUAUUUUCAAAAAAGGAAGUGGUCAAUGUUAACCAGAUUUAAAAUUAGGUACAAAGA
RNAcentral lists this long non-coding RNA (1278 nucleotides) under Homo sapiens (human). RNAcentral's name for it is "HSALNT0375458". The record is from RNAcentral. Lineage: Eukaryota; Metazoa; Chordata; Mammalia; Primates; Hominidae.